UCUGCAACAAGACACGUUAGGAUCUAUGCAGCUUAUUUUGACCCUGAAACUAGUGAAUUUGAUCAAACACAGAUGGACAAACUUACUCUUAUUCUUGAUCCUACUGAUGAGUUCGUUUGGACUGAUGAUACGUGUAAUCAGGUUUACUCUUAUUUCCAAGAACUUGUGGAUCAUUACGAGGCUCCUAGCCAUCACAAUUUGCAAGAUGCAGCAUUCAAGCACUAAGACUACUCAACAAAUCAAAGUUUUCACUGAAGGUCGGCAUUCUAAAAAAAACAAAAAAACAAACCUGCAGAUGAAGGUCGGUGUAGAACUUCUGCUUGAGGCUUGAGAAAUCUGUUGAACAGUCUGCUUGAGGCUUGCAGAAAU
Coffea arabica (coffee) is the source of this 369-nucleotide non-coding RNA. The record is from RefSeq and is a predicted model, not a curated record. Lineage: Eukaryota; Viridiplantae; Streptophyta; Magnoliopsida; Gentianales; Rubiaceae.